CCCUUAGAUGUUCUGGGCAGCACGCGCGCUACAAUGGUCUUCGCAAACGGAUGCAUUCUCGAAGGAGAAUGCCAAUCUUGGAAUCUAUGCCUUGGUCGGGACAGUUGCUUGCAAUUUUUCGACUCGAACCAGGAAUUCCUUGUAAUCGUGAUUCAUCACAUCACGAUGAAUACGUCCCUGCCCUUUGUACACACCGCCCGUCGCUCCUACCGAUUGAAACAUACGGUGAAAAUCUCGGAGAGGAAUGUUCUUAGUGCAAAGUUCGCUUUGUAUUUCCAUGCUUCAAAGUUGUUUAAAUCUCAUGUUUUAGAGGAAGGAGAAGUCGUAACA
RNAcentral lists this ribosomal RNA (330 nucleotides) under uncultured eukaryote. Its description in RNAcentral is "partial 18S ribosomal RNA". It matches the Rfam family "Eukaryotic small subunit ribosomal RNA", at positions 1470 to 1796 of the family's 1831-position model. The record is from RNAcentral.